Molecule: ribosomal RNA, 935 nt
Filed under: Brachybacterium sp. R214A1
Lineage: Bacteria; Bacillati; Actinomycetota; Actinomycetes; Micrococcales; Dermabacteraceae
Description: bacterial SSU rRNA
Rfam family: Bacterial small subunit ribosomal RNA
Source: RNAcentral
GUGAAGUGGCGCUGCUACCAUGCAAGUCGACGAUGACGGUGGUGCUUGCACCGCCUGAUUAGUGGCGAACGGGUGAGUAACACGUGAGUAACCUGCCCUCCACUUCGGGAUAACCUCGGGAAAUCGUGGCUAAUACCGGAUAUGAGCACUCAUCGCAUGGUGGGUGUUGGAAAGAUUUAUCGGUGGGGGAUGGACUCGCGGCCUAUCAGUUUGUUGGUGAGGUGAUGGCUCACCAAGACGAUGACGGGUAGCCGGCCUGAGAGGGCGACCGGCCACACUGGGACUGAGACACGGCCCAGACUCCUACGGGAGGCAGCAGUGGGGAAUAUUGCACAAUGGGCGAAAGCCUGAUGCAGCGACGCCGCGUGGGGGAUGACGGCCUUCGGGUUGUAAACCCCUUUCAGUAGGGAAGAAGCGAGAGUGACGGUACCUGCAGAAGAAGCGCCGGCUAACUACGUGCCAGCAGCCGCGGUAAUACGUAGGGCGCAAGCGUUGUCCGGAAUUAUUGGGCGUAAAGAGCUUGUAGGUGGCUUGUCGCGUCUGCCGUGAAAACCCGAGGCUCAACCUCGGGCGUGCGGUGGGUACGGGCAGGCUAGAGUGUGGUAGGGGAGACUGGAACUCCUGGUGUAGCGGUGAAAUGCGCAGAUAUCAGGAAGAACACCGAUGGCGAAGGCAGGUCUCUGGGCCAUUACUGACACUGAGAAGCGAAAGCAUGGGUAGCGAACAGGAUUAGAUACCCUGGUAGUCCAUGCCGUAAACGUUGGGCACUAGGUGUGGGGGACAUUCCACGUUUUCCGCGCGUAGCUAACGCAUUAAGUGCCCGCUGGGGAGUACGGCCGCAAGGCUAAACUCAAAGGAAUUGACUGGGGCCCGCACAGCGGCGAGCAUGCUGAUUAAUUCGAUGCAACGCGAAAACUUUACCAAGGCUUGACAUG